This 406-nucleotide ribosomal RNA is filed under the name uncultured bacterium. Its description in RNAcentral is "partial 16S ribosomal RNA". It matches the Rfam family "Bacterial small subunit ribosomal RNA", at positions 29 to 526 of the family's 1533-position model. The record is from RNAcentral.
AUUGAACGCUGGCGGCAGGCCUAACACAUGCAAGUCGAGCGAGCGGCGGACGGGUGAGUAAUGUGUGGGAAACAGACCGAUGGAGGGGGAUAAAUACUGGAAAAGGUAGCUAAUAACGCAUACGAUAAGAUGUGACCAGAUGGGAUUAGCUAGUAGGUGGGGUAACGGCUCACCUAGGGGACGAUCCCUAGCUGGUCUGAGAGGAUGACCAGCCACACUGGAACUGAGACACGGUCCAGACUCCUACGGGAGGCAGCAGUGGGGAAUAUUGCACAAUGGGCGCAAGCCUGACGCAGCCAUGCCGCGUGUGUGAAGAAGGCCUUCGGGUUGUAAAGCACUUUCAGUGGGGAGGCGUUACCCGCAGAAGAAGCACCGGCUAACUACGUGCCAGCAGCCGCGGUAAUUC